CGAGGACGGAGCCUGGGGUGGCAUUCGGGACGGUGGAGGGAGCAGCCAGGCCCAGGGCGCCCCGUCCUGUGUGCCUGGACCGUGUGACAAGGCUGUGAGCCUUACUGCUCCCAGGACCCUGAUGGGAGGACGGUCUAAAGUAGGACUUGGGUGGCCCGCGCGGCCCGUCCUUCCUGUCACACAGGCUCCGCGGCGGCCGGCCAGGAGAUAUUUAUACUCCGCUCUCGGGGGACCAGGUGCUCUUGUUCUGCUCUUUCUCCCCACAUUCUGAGGUUGACUGGGUGACUGGCCGAUUCUUCCUGGUAGAGACGAACAGGGUUUCCGUCGGUCAGCGAAGCAGCCCUCAGGUUGGGGUCCCUUGCCCUGGAGAGCAGCCUUGGAUUUCUCUCCCCAGAGCUCUUGUCACCGUGUUCUUCUGAGCCUGGGAACGCUCAGGUCCUCAAGUGCUUCUGGAACCGUCCACCACCAGUGGCCCCUUGCUGAUGAGUAUCUGUGUCCACUCUCUUUGUACAGGGACAGUUUUUUGAAAACUGAUCUUGACCCUUUUUCCUAAUAAGAGCCGCCUGCUGGAGACUCAGGGCAGACAGGGCCUCACGGUGCAAGUGGCACUUCAGCCACCAAGGGUGACCCUGGGGCUCAGCUUGGAGUUGGUGCAGUGCACCCAGGGGUCAGAUCCCAUGGUUCCCAAACAGACCAUUCUGAACCGAGUGGCAGAAAGUGACCACUUGAGAUGGAUUGAGAAGAAAAAGUGGCCCAGGUGCUGUUGGCCAGGACUUCCGCGGGGCCUGCGAGGGCCUCAGCUGGGCGACCCAAAGCUGGGCGACUUGACCAUGGGGCAACCACAUGUACUGCACUCUCGGGCUGGGCCUGCUGGCAGGACGGCCACCAGGCUGGGUCCAGCAGGACGGUGGGCCAUGGGCCUCCCUGUGGCUCCCCUGUGGCGCCUCAGUGCUCUAGAGCCUGGUAGGGCUGCACGGCCCUUUGCCAGCCAGCUGAGAAGUCGCAUGUGCCAAGCACGCUCAUGCCCACACCCGGAGCAAGGGGCCCAGGCCUUGAGGAGCCGCGUGGGACCUGAGGUCACCCGAGAGCCGCUCCUGCUCCACAAUUCCCAGCCCCAUGGUCACUGCUGAUGGCUCACAAGGACCUGUGUCUCGUAGCAAGCCCCAAGGCUUUCCUUAAAAAAUAUUAACAGUGUCCACUGGACACGUUGGUGUGAGCCUCCAUACACAUCACGGCAAGCACCGAGCAGGCCCAGCCCCGCCGACCUCCAGCCUCACACAAGGACGCGAGGCCUCAGCCCUUUGGAGCCCCAGGCGCUGCCAAAAGGCAAGAGAGGCAGACCCCAAGUCACGCAGCUCCCGUUCCCGGGCGCUCCGGGGCUCGCGGCCUGACAUCUUCUUUUGGUUCUUCCCGUCUCAGGAUUCCACGCGACCAUGACGGAGAAGAAGCCAAGGAGGCCAAGGAGAACGGGGGCCUGAGGCCGCGCCUGGUGGUCUCCUCCCCACCGAAGGGCGAGACGCGGGCCCUCUUCUGGGUUUGCGUUGACACCUCUCUCCUUUCAAUCCAAAGCUCAAGUGCUGCCUGGAAAUGGAGUCUGCAGCCCCCCUGGGUGGACCUCCAUUCUUCUGGCUCUUUGGGGGUAAGUUUUUCAGAGUCUCUGGAACUGUUUCCUCGUCUGUAAAAUGGGACUGAUACUAGUUUUUUUGGGGGGGAUGGUGGUACCAGGGAUUGAACUCAGGGGCCCUUGAACACCGAGCCUCACCCCAGCCCUACUUUGUAUUUUAUUCAGAGACAGGGCCUCACUGAGUUCCUUAGCACCUCAAAGUUACCGAGGCUGGCUUUGAACUCCCCAUCCUCCAGUCUCAGCCUCCCGAGCCCCCGGGAUCACAGGCCUGAGCUGCUGUGCGCUGGCAGGUCUGAUAAUAGUUUAUUAUCUCUACCUCCAGGAGCUGAUAGGGGUCUGAUAGGAUUCUGUACGCUGACACCGCAGGGCGUGGCGUGAGCUGGGAGGGCUGGAUUAGUCUCACUGGGCUUGCUAAGAACUUCACAAGGAGAUAAAUGGUUCUUAAUUGUUUCUGAUAUCCUGCCACAGCAUCCUGGGUGAGCAGGAGAGUGUGUGUGUGUGUGUGCACCCACGUAUCCCAUGUGCACACGCGUGUGCGCUCCACCAGAAGCAGAGCCCGGUGUCCUUGCUGAGACUCUGGUACUCUCUGUCCUGCCCUUCGAUGCUCUUGCUGCGCCUCAGCCGUGGUGAAGAUUGAGAGAAUCUAGGACAGUGAAUUUCCUCAGAGGGACGAGAAGGUCACAAGGAAAGUCUGCUGCCCUCCACAUCCUCAGUGUUCUAGAACAGGACUGAGGCGAGUUUGAGAAGCUAAAAGCAAUUGGAUAAUUGACCUGUUUGUUUUUUUUUUUUUAAUAAACGCAGGAGCCCUGUUCUUCGCUGGAACACAAAAAUGUUUGUGACUUUGAAAAGAAAUAUUGUCUGACUUGUUUUGCCGUCAGCAGAAAUGCUGGCUUCGCUCCCGACCCCUCCUAGCGAAGCCACCAGACAGGACAGACAGACCUGCCCUUGG
Molecule: long non-coding RNA, 2573 nt
Filed under: Marmota monax (woodchuck)
Lineage: Eukaryota; Metazoa; Chordata; Mammalia; Rodentia; Sciuridae
Source: RNAcentral